RNAcentral lists this transfer RNA (85 nucleotides) under Felis catus (domestic cat). It matches the Rfam family "tRNA". From Rfam's summary of the family: Transfer RNA (tRNA) molecules are approximately 80 nucleotides in length. Their secondary structure includes four short double-helical elements and three loops (D, anti-codon, and T loops). Further hydrogen bonds mediate the characteristic L-shaped molecular structure. tRNAs have two regions of fundamental functional importance: the anti-codon, which is responsible for specific mRNA codon recognition, and the 3' end, to which the tRNAs corresponding amino acid is attached (by aminoacyl-tRNA synthetases). tRNAs cope with the degeneracy of the genetic code in two manners: having more than one tRNA (with a specific anti-codon) for a particular amino acid; and 'wobble' base-pairing, i.e. permitting non-standard base-pairing at the 3rd anti-codon position. The record is from Rfam by way of RNAcentral. Lineage: Eukaryota; Metazoa; Chordata; Mammalia; Carnivora; Felidae.
GCCCAGGUGGCUCAGUCAGUUAAGCAUCUGACUUUGGCUCAGGUCAUGAUCUCAAGGUUCACAGGUUCAAGCCCUGCAUUGGGCU